UACGUAGGGAGCGAGCGUUGUCCGGAAUUACUGGGCGUAAAGAGUGCGUAGGCGGCAUAUCAAGUCAGGUGUGAAAUACUUCAGCUCAACUGAGGAAUUGCAUUUGAAACUGAUAAGCUUGAGUAUAGGAGAGGAAAGCGGAAUUCCUGGUGUAGCGGUGAAAUGCAUAGAGAUCAGGAGGAACACCGGUGGCGAAGGCGGCUUUCUGGACUAAAACUGACGUUGAGGCACGAAAGCGUGGGGAGCAAACAGGAUUAGAUACCCUGGUAGUCCACGCGGUAAACGAUGGAUACUAGGUGUGGGAGGUAUCGACCCCUUCCGUGCCGUAGUUAACGCAAUAAGUAUCCCGCCUGGGGAGUACGGCCGCAAGGUUGAA
This 376-nucleotide ribosomal RNA is filed under the name uncultured bacterium. RNAcentral's name for it is "bacterial SSU rRNA". It matches the Rfam family "Bacterial small subunit ribosomal RNA", at positions 524 to 898 of the family's 1533-position model. The record is from RNAcentral.